GGAGAGUUGACAGAGUGGUAAUGUGCAGGCUUGCUAAGCCAUGUCAUCGUUAAGUCGGUACAGAGGUUCGAGCCCUCUACUCUCCG
RNAcentral lists this transfer RNA (86 nucleotides) under Ferruginibacter sp. Its description in RNAcentral is "tRNA-Ser". It matches the Rfam family "tRNA". From Rfam's summary of the family: Transfer RNA (tRNA) molecules are approximately 80 nucleotides in length. Their secondary structure includes four short double-helical elements and three loops (D, anti-codon, and T loops). Further hydrogen bonds mediate the characteristic L-shaped molecular structure. tRNAs have two regions of fundamental functional importance: the anti-codon, which is responsible for specific mRNA codon recognition, and the 3' end, to which the tRNAs corresponding amino acid is attached (by aminoacyl-tRNA synthetases). tRNAs cope with the degeneracy of the genetic code in two manners: having more than one tRNA (with a specific anti-codon) for a particular amino acid; and 'wobble' base-pairing, i.e. permitting non-standard base-pairing at the 3rd anti-codon position. Lineage: Bacteria; Pseudomonadati; Bacteroidota; Chitinophagia; Chitinophagales; Chitinophagaceae. The record is from RNAcentral.